Molecule: long non-coding RNA, 209 nt
Filed under: Lathyrus oleraceus (garden pea)
Lineage: Eukaryota; Viridiplantae; Streptophyta; Magnoliopsida; Fabales; Fabaceae
Description: Pisum sativum (pea) long non-coding RNA (PSAT_LNC021644)
Source: RNAcentral
AUGCAUAAUAAACCUCACCUUACUCUCUUAUUAUCUUCAUUCAUUAACAUCUCAAACUUUCAAAACUCACCAUAAAAGAACUCAUUUUCUCUUCAAAAAUACGUACUCCCAUAUCUCUCAUUUUUUCCCAACAAAAUAGAAACAAUGAAGAGAAAGAUCGAUAUUCUCUAUUGUGAAGAUAAAUCCAUGAAUUUGAGAUUCACUUCUCA